GCCACAUCAUUCUCUUUGCUUCACCCUUCCUAUACCCUCGUAUGAGGAGAAGGAUCCUAUUCCUUGUCAGGCAUGACUUCUGCAUAUGGUUCUCCUAUCCCAUCAUCACCCCCUUCCUCCUUCCAUCCUUCACAGCCAUGGAAGACUGUAGCAUGCUUGCUGCCGAUUGUGUUGUCAUAUCCUGCUGCUGCCAGUGCUUGAUACUACAAAUCAUCUUCAUCUUGCUAAAACUUCCUUGCAAACUCAUUCGAAAGGCUAAAGAAUAUGCAAAGAAGAAACUUGGAACUCUGUAUAGAAAGCAAGCAGAGAGGAGAACAGAAUCAGUGAAGGGUAGAUUUCAGGACGACUCUGUGGAAUUCCAUGAAGGGUCGAUAAAAAUUCAAAUAGAAGAGUUGCAUGGUAGCCAUGGUCUUGGGAGUUGUGUGGAGGAAGUUGAGAGGGUGAUAGGAGAUUUCUCCCAAAAGGGAGAGUUUGCAUUUGGAAGCUUCUGGGGUAGGGGCAAAGGCAAGGAUUAGAAGCCUCCUUAACAUGUGUAGGUAAACAGGAAUUUGAUUUAAGCCUUGUACAGUUUGAAAUAGUUGAAAUAGACAAUUCUUUCAGAUGCUCAAAAUGAUCGACUUAUUAAGUUCUAUUGCCAGCUUAAUUAUUUGAACACAUUGGUUGCCACAUUUGAUCAGAAAUUUGAUUUGGGUUAAAAAAAAGAUGUUGUUUUUGUAGGCA
This 720-nucleotide unclassified non-coding RNA is filed under the name Hevea brasiliensis (rubber tree). The record is from RNAcentral. Lineage: Eukaryota; Viridiplantae; Streptophyta; Magnoliopsida; Malpighiales; Euphorbiaceae.